Non-coding RNA from Felis catus (domestic cat), 85 nucleotides. Lineage: Eukaryota; Metazoa; Chordata; Mammalia; Carnivora; Felidae. The record is from Rfam.
GCCUGGGUGGCUCAGUCGGUUAAGCGUCCGACUUCGGCUUAGGACGUGAUCUCACAGUUCGUGGGUUCAAGCCCCGCAUCAGGCU